AGUUCCUAGGCCAGCCUGUCACGUGGGAGGGAGGCUCGGAGCUCAGGAAGCAUGGCACUCUGGCGGGCAUACCAGCGGGCCCUGGCUGCUCACCCGUGGAAAGUACAGGUCCUGACAGCUGACUUCUGGGGAGGAAGGCAGCACUGCUGGCCCCAUGCCAGUAGCUAUACCUGCCGACCCAGGCCUCCUGGACUGAAGGACAUGCUUCCUGCUCCUCACUCCAAGAAGCCACUUCUUGCCCCUCUGCCUUCUGCGCAUGAAACUCAAAAGCCACAAAAGUAAGUAGAGGAACAAAAUAGGAGAAGUAGGGAAUUUACCCCGCUCGUGCCCGGGAAGAGGGUGUGGAAGUUGGGGCUUUUCCACUAGUGGGCAGGAAGUGGUCCCAAAUCGAUCUGCUCAGAGGCAGGCUCCCUUCCCCCUGGCCGCUGGAUCUGUUCGGGAGUGACGGCAUGAGAACUGGCACCUACCCAGGGGCAUGAUGUCACACCUGCGCCGGCAUCUGCUCGCUGGGCUCCACGCCCAGCCUGUCAUUGGGCAUCACUGCCCAGCAGCCCCUAGCCCUGCC
This 565-nucleotide small RNA is filed under the name Pan troglodytes (chimpanzee). RNAcentral describes it as "retained intron". The record is from RNAcentral. Lineage: Eukaryota; Metazoa; Chordata; Mammalia; Primates; Hominidae.